AGAAUCAACGCUGGCGGCGUGCCUCAGACAUGCAAGUCGAACGCGAAAUCCCGAGCAAUCGGGAAAGUAGAGUGGCGCACGGGUGAGUAACACGUAGGUAAUCUACCUUCGGAUGGGGAAUAACAACCGGAAACGGUUGCUAAUACCGCAUAAUGCAGCGGCACCUAAUGGUGACAGUUGUUAAAGCGGGGGAUCGAAAGACCUCGCGUCUGAAGAGAGCCUGCGGCGGAUUAGCUAGUUGGUAAGGUAAUGGCUUACCAAGGCAACGAUCC
RNAcentral lists this ribosomal RNA (272 nucleotides) under uncultured soil bacterium. RNAcentral's name for it is "partial 16S ribosomal RNA". It matches the Rfam family "Bacterial small subunit ribosomal RNA", at positions 26 to 282 of the family's 1533-position model. The record is from RNAcentral.